CCUCAUAUGUAAAGGAGGAAAAGUAAUAACACCUCUCUGAUGAAUUUGUUGCUAGAAUGUCUGGCCCACAACGACUCUGUUCAUCUCUUGGAGCUGCCUGCUUCUAUGUUGAAAGCCAGUGAAAAAGAGUAAGCAGCAUCUUUAUCCAGAAUUUCCAGAAAUCAUUCUGUUGUCUACUUUGAUUGCAUUAGUGUCUUUGAGGAUAUUCCAAACCCAAAACCUAUGGAUAAGAACAAUUUGCAUUGAACAGAGCCCCAAGUAGGCUAAAGGAAUGCUCAAAAACACACAACUCACCAAGCGAAAACAAGCAUCAAAGGUGGACUAUCUGUCCAGUAUCCAAGUAACUGCUGUGCUCUGAGUUCAGGUGAAGUGA
Myotis davidii is the source of this 373-nucleotide long non-coding RNA. RefSeq lists it as uncharacterized. The transcript is spliced from 3 exons. The record is from RefSeq and is a predicted model, not a curated record. Lineage: Eukaryota; Metazoa; Chordata; Mammalia; Chiroptera; Vespertilionidae.